UUAUUGGCCCACUUUGUUGCCCUCUCGAGCUACCGUUUGGUUCGGGGUUAAGAAAAAACUAGUUAUUUCAGGGAUAGAGUUAAGUUCAGGGUUAAGGUGGGGUUAGAGUAUUUUUUGUGUUUGGUUGGGGGUUAGAGUUAGUCCAGGAUUAAGAAAAAUAGUGUUUGGUUGGAGUAGGUGGGAUAAGAAGGAUAGUGAGUAAAAUAGUUUUUUUUUUUUGGAAUAAGAAGGAUAGUGUUUUGUUUGGUUGGAGUAGUGGGAUGGGGUGAGCUAACCCCACCCCACAAAUUAGGUGUUUGAGAAUAACUUCGGGGUUAAGGGGUUGUU
RNAcentral lists this long non-coding RNA (327 nucleotides) under Ananas comosus (pineapple). Its description in RNAcentral is "long non-coding RNA (ACOM_LNC020522)". Lineage: Eukaryota; Viridiplantae; Streptophyta; Magnoliopsida; Poales; Bromeliaceae. The record is from RNAcentral.